Molecule: unclassified non-coding RNA, 117 nt
Organism: Pongo abelii (Sumatran orangutan)
Lineage: Eukaryota; Metazoa; Chordata; Mammalia; Primates; Hominidae
Rfam family: Metazoan signal recognition particle RNA
About the family: The signal recognition particle (SRP) is a universally conserved ribonucleoprotein. It is involved in the co-translational targeting of proteins to membranes.
Source: Ensembl
GCUGGGCAAGAUGACUCAUGCCUGUAAUCCCAGCACUUUGGGAGGCUGAGGCAGGAGGAUCAUUUGAGCCCAGGGGUUAGAGAUGAGCCUGGGCAAUAUAGUGAGACCCUGUCUCUA